This 497-nucleotide ribosomal RNA is filed under the name uncultured bacterium. Its description in RNAcentral is "partial 16S ribosomal RNA". It matches the Rfam family "Bacterial small subunit ribosomal RNA", at positions 28 to 507 of the family's 1533-position model. The record is from RNAcentral.
GAUGAACGCUGUCGGCGUGCCUAAUACAUGCAAGUCGAGCGAACAGACGAGGAGCUUGCUCCUCUGACGUUAGCGGCGGACGGGUGAGUAACACGUGGAUAACCUACCUAUAAGACUGGGAUAACUUCGGGAAACCGGAGCUAAUACCGGAUAAUAUAUUGAACCGCAUGGUUCAAUAGUGAAAGACGGUUUUGCUGUCACUUAUAGAUGGAUCCGCGCCGCAUUAGCUAGUUGGUAAGGUAACGGCUUACCAAGGCAACGAUGCGUAGCCGACCUGAGAGGGUGAUCGGCCACACUGGAACUGAGACACGGUCCAGACUCCUACGGGAGGCAGCAGUAGGGAAUCUUCCGCAAUGGGCGAAAGCUUGACGGAGCAACGCCGCGUGAGUGAUGAAGGUCUUCGGAUCGUAAAACUCUGUUAUUAGGGAAGAACAAAUGUGUAAGUAACUAUGCACGUCUUGACGGUACCUAAUCAGAAAGCCACGGCUAACUACGUG